RNAcentral lists this ribosomal RNA (317 nucleotides) under uncultured bacterium. RNAcentral's name for it is "bacterial SSU rRNA". It matches the Rfam family "Bacterial small subunit ribosomal RNA", at positions 480 to 793 of the family's 1533-position model. The record is from RNAcentral.
UGCAGAAGAAGCACCGGCUAACUCCGUGCCAGCAGCCGCGGUAAUACGGAGGGUGCGAGCGUUUAAUCGGAAUUACUGGGCGUAAAGCGCAUGCAGGUGGUUUGUUAAGUCAGAUGUGAAAGCCCCGGGGCUCAACCUCGGAAUUGCAUUUGAAACUGGCAAACUAGAGUACUGUAGAGGGGGUAGAAUUUCAGGUGUAGCGGUGAAAUGCGUAGAGAUCUGAAGGAAUACCGGUGGCGAAGGCGGCCCCCUGGACAGAUACUGACACUCAGAUCGCGAAAGCGUGGGGAGCAAACAGGAUUAGAUACCCUCGGUAG